AGGAGCCGCAGCACUCAAGCAACACCCAUACAGAGCCUUCACCCUGGAGCUCCAGGUAGGCGGAGUUGACUCCAAUGGGCAGUCCAAGUAGGCGGAGUUGACUCCAAUGGGCAGUUCAGGUAGGUGGAGUUGACUCCAAUGGGCAGUCCCAGUAGGUGGAGUUGACUCCAAUUGGCAGUCCAGGUAGGUGGAGUUGACUCCAAUGGGCAGUUUGAGUAGAUGGAGUUGACUCCAAUUGGCAGUCCAGGUAGGUGGAGUUGACUCCAAUGGGCAGUUUGAGUAGGUGGAGUUGACUCCAAUUGGCAGUCCAGGUAGGUGGAGUUGACUCCAAUGGGCAGUUUGAGUAGAUGGAGUUGACUCCAAUUGGCAGUCCAGGUAGGUGGAGUUGACUCCAAUGGCCAGUUCAGGUAGGUAUAGUUGACUCCAAUGGGCAGUCCCAGUAGGUGGAGUUGACUCCAAUGGUCACCAAUAGAGUCUAGAUGUAGACCUCCAGAGCUCCACCCU
Molecule: long non-coding RNA, 504 nt
Organism: Erpetoichthys calabaricus (reedfish)
Lineage: Eukaryota; Metazoa; Chordata; Cladistia; Polypteriformes; Polypteridae
Exons: 3
Source: RefSeq, a predicted model, not a curated record